This 492-nucleotide ribosomal RNA is filed under the name uncultured Oxalobacteraceae bacterium. RNAcentral's name for it is "partial 16S ribosomal RNA". The record is from RNAcentral. Lineage: Bacteria; Pseudomonadati; Pseudomonadota; Betaproteobacteria; Burkholderiales; Oxalobacteraceae.
CACGUAGUUAGCCGGUGCUUAUUCUUCAGGUACCGUCAUUAGGAACAGAUAUUAGCCACUCCCGUUUCUUCCCUGACAAAAGAGCUUUACAACCCGAAGGCCUUCUUCACUCACGCGGCAUUGCUGGAUCAGGCUUGCGCCCAUUGUCCAAAAUUCCCCACUGCUGCCUCCCGUAGGAGUCUGGACCGUGUCUCAGUUCCAGUGUGGCUGGUCGUCCUCUCAGACCAGCUACUGAUCGAUGCCUUGGUAGGCCUUUACCCCACCAACUAGCUAAUCAGAUAUCGGCCGCUCCAGGAGCACAAGGCCCGAAGGUCCCCUGCUUUCAUCCAUGGAUCGUAUGCGGUAUUAGCGUAACUUUCGCUACGUUAUCCCCCACUCCAGGGUACGUUCCGAUAUAUUACUCACCCGUUCGCCACUCGCCACCAGAGCAAGCUCCGUGCUGCCGUUCGACUUGCAUGUGUAAGGCAUGCCGCCAGCGUUCAAUCUGAGCCA